This 333-nucleotide long non-coding RNA is filed under the name Sorghum bicolor (sorghum). RNAcentral describes it as "long non-coding RNA (SBIC_LNC001050)". The record is from RNAcentral. Lineage: Eukaryota; Viridiplantae; Streptophyta; Magnoliopsida; Poales; Poaceae.
AGGGGCCAGGGGGUCUGGUUAUAUAGUCCCCUCAAGUGAACCUGGGCCGUCAGAUCAAACCGACAUUGAUUGAACGGUUAUUCUUGAUGUAUUAGGUCGGUGGAGCAUGAUCCGCGAAGUUGAAGCUGAUUGGUUACUGUAGCUGGGCGGGCACCCAAGGGACUUGGGCGGGCGCCUUGCCCCCAGGCCCGAUCGGCCUCCCGUUCGUUCCCGUGGCUUCUGGAGUCUUCUAGAUGGUAGAAAAUUGUGCGGCACGUCAAUAUCUCCAUGUAAACCCGACGUGUGGGCCUUUCUUUCAUAUUUCCUGAUAACCCCCUGCAGAAAUAGACAAAC